Molecule: small nuclear RNA, 105 nt
Organism: Delphinapterus leucas (beluga whale)
Lineage: Eukaryota; Metazoa; Chordata; Mammalia; Artiodactyla; Monodontidae
Source: Ensembl
UGCACUGGCUUGGGCAGUGGGUGAUAAUUGAAAAGGAUGUGGAGAAAAUUGGCUUUGCCCCUGCUCAAGAGUGACACCCAAACUUGUGAAGCGUUCCAUAUUUUG